This is a long non-coding RNA of Homo sapiens (human), 962 nucleotides long. NCBI's taxonomy places the organism in Eukaryota, Metazoa, Chordata, Mammalia, Primates, Hominidae. The record is from Ensembl.
CCCUUCCCCCCACGCCUCCGCCCAACACACACGCACACACAGUCCAGCCUCCCACCGGACACCUAACCUCAGUCCCCCCUGCAGCGCCAGGAGGAAUAAGUCAGGAGCUUUGACAACAGUGGUUCUCAAACUCCAGUGUGCCCCAGAAUCAACUGGAUGGUUUAUUAACACUGAUUGCUGGGCCUCAUCCUCAGAGAUACUGAUUCUCUCCAAGUUAUACUCAGGAAGAGAAAAAAAUUAAAAGUUCCAGUAGGCCGAGAAGCCCAUGAUCCACCGUGUUGAAGGAAGAUUUGCUUCACCUCACCACCCCCCAACCCCCUCCCGCCCCCCCGCGGUAAUACUAAGCUGUUCACACGCUGUGAAGAAGACCCGAAGACUAGGUUGUCAACUGUUGGGGCCUACCUGCGCCAGACUUCUUCCUCAGUGGCCAGCUUUCUCACCCCCCGUUAGCCACCAGGGGGCCGCCUGCUUGGAACAAGUGGUGUAGACGCCACAGCUUUUCUCCAAACCAACCAAAACAUUCCGGGGCAGCUUUGGAGCAAAGCCCAGGAACUUCCCUGCAAAGGAGAACAGCUCUCCAACUACAGAAGCCUGCAAGUCCUAUGGUGCAGACUUAUUAAGAGUAGAGAAGAAAGCACGGACUUCUCACCGAGGACCAAAGGGAAAUGGGGUCUCUGGGGCCUGCAACUUUCUUAAAAGUGCAUCAGUGAAACCCUGCUUAUCCAGCGGGGUGGUUGUUAAUGCUGUCAGCAGGGGUGGGGGGCCUCUCACCCCUUUCCCUGGGACGCUCAGAAGAAGCGAGAAUAAAACAUACAUGUCACUGGCUGGAAAUCUAGAGAACCUUCCAAUAAAUAACCUAUACAUUGUCAGGCAGCUGAGGAUCCAUAUCGUCAUAACUCUAUUAUACUGCGUGUUACACGAAUAGAUGUGAAUAUUAAAUUAUGAUGUCGGAAUUAUUUUAA